UACGUAGGGGGCUAGCGUUGCUCGGAAUGACUGGGCGUAAAGGGCGCGUAGGCGGCGCAGUUAGUCAGGCGUGAAAGUCCUGGGCUCAACCUGGGAACUGUGCUUGAUACGGCAGAGCUAGAGGAUGGAAGAGGCUCGCGGAAUUCCCAGUGUAGAGGUGAAAUUCGUAGAUAUUGGGAAGAACACCGGUGGCGAAGGCGGCGAGCUGGUCCAUUACUGACGCUGAGGCGCGACAGCGUGGGGAGCAAACAGG
RNAcentral lists this ribosomal RNA (253 nucleotides) under uncultured bacterium. Its description in RNAcentral is "partial 16S ribosomal RNA". It matches the Rfam family "Bacterial small subunit ribosomal RNA", at positions 524 to 776 of the family's 1533-position model. The record is from RNAcentral.